Molecule: transfer RNA, 74 nt
Filed under: Myxococcota bacterium
Lineage: Bacteria; Pseudomonadati; Myxococcota
Description: tRNA-Leu
Rfam family: tRNA
About the family: Transfer RNA (tRNA) molecules are approximately 80 nucleotides in length.
Source: RNAcentral
GGCCCUCUAGUCCAACUGGUAGAGACAAACGUUUUAAGCUCGUUUCAGUGUCGGUUCGAAUCCGACGAGGGCUA